GAUGAACGCUGGCUACAGGCUUAACACAUGCAAGUCGAGGGGAAACGACGGGGAAGCUUGCUUCCCCGGGCGUCGACCGGCGCACGGGUGAGUAACGCGUAUCCAACCUGCCUCUGACUGAGGGAUAACCCGUCGAAAGUCGGCCUAAUACCUCAUGGCAUCGUCUGCGGGCAUCCAACGACGAUUAAAGAUUUCAUCGGUCAGGGAUGGGGAUGCGUCUGAUUAGCUAGUUGGCGGGGUAACGGCCCACCAAGGCUACGAUCAGUAGGGGUUCUGAGAGGAAGGUCCCCCACAUUGGAACUGAGACACGGUCCAAACUCCUACGGGAGGCAGCAGUGAGGAAUAUUGGUCAAUGGGCGAGAGCCUGAACCAGCCAAGUAGCGUGCAGGAUGACGGCCCUAUGGGUUGUAAACUGCUUUUAUGCGGGGAUAAAGUGCAGGACGUGUCCUUCAUUGCAGGACCGCAUGAAUAAGACCGCA
Molecule: ribosomal RNA, 479 nt
Filed under: Segatella oris
Lineage: Bacteria; Pseudomonadati; Bacteroidota; Bacteroidia; Bacteroidales; Prevotellaceae
Description: bacterial SSU rRNA
Rfam family: Bacterial small subunit ribosomal RNA
Source: RNAcentral